UGACAGAGUGAGGGAGGGUGUGACUAGUGACAGAGAGAGGGAGGGGGUGACUAGUGACAGAGUGAGGGAGGUGGUGACUAGUGACAACCACCUCCCUCACUCUGUCACUAGUCACCACCUCCCUCACUCUGUCACCAGUCAUCCCCUCACUCUGCCACUAGUCACCCCUUCCCUCACUCUGUCACAAGUCACCCCCUCUCUCACUCUGUCACUA
Molecule: non-coding RNA, 214 nt
Organism: Pelobates cultripes (western spadefoot toad)
Lineage: Eukaryota; Metazoa; Chordata; Amphibia; Anura; Pelobatidae
Source: the annotation of a GenBank genome assembly